Molecule: ribosomal RNA, 465 nt
Filed under: uncultured bacterium
Lineage: Bacteria
Description: partial 16S ribosomal RNA
Rfam family: Bacterial small subunit ribosomal RNA
Source: RNAcentral
GACGAACGCUGGCGGCGUGCUUAACACAUGCAAGUCGAACGGAAAGGCCCCUUUGGGGGUACUCGAGUGGCGAACGGGUGAGUAACACGUGAGUAACCUGCCCUUGACUUCGGGAUAACUUCAGGAAACUGGGGCUAAUACCGGAUAGGAAUCCUUGCUGCAUGGUGGGGGUUGGAAAGCUUCGGCGGUUUUGGAUGGACUCGCGGCUUAUCAGCUUGUUGGUGGGGUAGUGGCUUACCAAGGCUUUGACGGGUAGCCGGCCUGAGAGGGCGACCGGCCACAGUGGGACUGAGAGACGGCCCAGACUCCUACGGGAGGCAGCAGUGGGGAAUAUUGCACAAUGGGCGGAAGCCGGAUGCAGCAACGCCGCGUGCGGGAUGACGGCCUUCGGGUUGGAAACCGCUUUCAGCAGGGGCGAAGCUUGUGGUGACGGUACCUGCAGAAGAAGCACCGGCUAACUACGUG